AACGAACGCUGGCGGCAUGCCUAACACAUGCAAGUCGAACGAGACCUUCGGGUCUAGUGGCGCACGGGUGCGUAACGCGUGGGAACCUGCCCUUAGGUUCGGAAUAACUCCCCGAAAGGGGUGCUAAUACCGGAUAAUGUCUUCGGACCAAAGAUUUAUCGCCUUUGGAUGGGCCCGCGUUGGAUUAGCUAGUUGGUAGGGUAAAAGCCUACCAAGGCGACGAUCCAUAGCUGGUCUGAGAGGAUGAUCAGCCACACUGGGACUGAGACACGGCCCAGACCCCGAGGGGGGGCAGCGGGGGGGAAUAGUGAACAAUGGGGGAAAGCCUGAUCCAGCAAUGCCGGGUGAGGGAUGAAGGCCUGAGGGUGGUAAAGCUCUUUUACCGGGGAUGAUAAUGACAGUACGGGGAAAAAAAGCUCGGCCAAACCCCGUC
RNAcentral lists this ribosomal RNA (433 nucleotides) under uncultured bacterium. RNAcentral's name for it is "partial 16S ribosomal RNA". It matches the Rfam family "Bacterial small subunit ribosomal RNA", at positions 29 to 507 of the family's 1533-position model. The record is from RNAcentral.